CCCUUAGAUGUCCUGGGCCGCACGCGCGCUACACUGAGUGUCUGAGAUACGAGUCUGCCUGGUCCGGCAAGGUCUAGGUAAUCGCUAAAAGACACAUCAUGCUUGGGAUUGAUUAUUGCAAUUAUUAAUCAUGAACGAGGAAUUCCUAGUAAACGCAUUUCAUCAAAAUGCAUUGAUUACGUCCCUGCCCUUUGUACACACCGCCCGUCGCACCUACCGAUUGAGUGGUCCGGUGAAGUCUCGAGAUUGUGGCAAUCUCCUUUAUUGGAGUUUGACUGCGAGAACUUGCCUAAACCUUAUCACUUAGAGGAAGGUGAAGUCGUAACA
This 327-nucleotide ribosomal RNA is filed under the name uncultured eukaryote. Its description in RNAcentral is "partial 18S ribosomal RNA". It matches the Rfam family "Eukaryotic small subunit ribosomal RNA", at positions 1470 to 1796 of the family's 1831-position model. The record is from RNAcentral.